RNAcentral lists this ribosomal RNA (476 nucleotides) under uncultured bacterium. RNAcentral's name for it is "bacterial SSU rRNA". It matches the Rfam family "Bacterial small subunit ribosomal RNA", at positions 24 to 518 of the family's 1533-position model. The record is from RNAcentral.
UCAGGACGAACGCUGGCGGCGUGCCUAACACAUGCAAGUCGAGCGAGGAGAUCCUCGGGAUGAUCCUAGCGGCGGACGGGUGAGUAACACGUGGGCAACCUGCCUCAUAGAGAGGAAUAGCCUUCCGAAAGGGAGAUUAAUACCUCAUAACAUUGCAGUUUCGCAUGGAACAGCAAUUAAAGGAGCAAUCCGCUAUGAGAUGGGCCCGCGGCGCAUUAGCUAGUUGGUGAGGUAACGGCUCACCAAGGCGACGAUGCGUAGCCGACCUGAGAGGGUGAUCGGCCACAUUGGGACUGAGACACGGCCCAGACUCCUACGGGAGGCAGCAGUGGGGAAUAUUGCACAAUGGGGGAAACCCUGAUGCAAGCAACGCCGCGUGAGUGAUGACGGCCUUCGGGUUGUAAAGCUCUGUCUUCAGGGACGAUAAUGACGGUACCUGAGGAGGAAGCCACGGCUAACUACGUGCCAGCAGCGGC